Molecule: long non-coding RNA, 2691 nt
Filed under: Olea europaea subsp. europaea
Lineage: Eukaryota; Viridiplantae; Streptophyta; Magnoliopsida; Lamiales; Oleaceae
Source: RNAcentral
UUUGGUAAAAACUCAAACCCGCCCUAAUUUCUUCCCCCUUUCUCACUCUCGCACCCGCUCUCGCCACCAUCUCGUUCCCGUAUUCCCUGUCAAUCUCUCUUCCUCAUUCUCUCAAUAUGAAACGCAGACACCAGCCCUCAAUUGUUUGAGAGAGGCUUAAUUUCUGGGAGUCUUCUUCUCCAUUAUUUCAAGGUAGGCUUAAUUGUUUUCUGUUGUUGAUGCAUAAUCGGUUUACAUUAGCUUGCUAGCAUUUAAAUAUGGCUCUUGUAUAAUACUUAUGUGACUUUUAAAUCAAUGUAUGUUUAUGCUUUUGUAACUAUUUUAGUGAAUCCAGUAGAUGUCAAUUUGUGUAAAGCCCGAUUCUGUUGAAGUUAUUAUAUUGAAGAUGUUUAUGCUUUUGUAACUAUUACAUAUGGCUCUUGUAUAAUACUUAUGUGACUUUUUUAUGGGUUCUUAUAUUGAAGUUAUUUGUAGUUCUUUUGCAGUGUUCUAAUUUGAUAUGGAAUUGGAAUUUUGGAUUGAUUGAUUGUGUAGUAGUUUGAACAAUAAGAGGAUUCUUUAUUUUUGAUUUUUAAUCCUUUUCCAAUCGGGUUUAGUUUCUUUACAAAUUCUUGUAUAUUUGUUGAUAUGCAGUGGAGACUAAGAUAACUUCAAAUUUUCAUCUUCUGCAGUAGGCUCUUCUCAAGUCACUUCGAAAUUUAGUAAAUCUGCUAUCAUCAACGACUAAACGGUACCUCUCUAUAAUGGAUCUACAACCUCCUCAUUCUGCAAACUGACUACAUCUCAUGUUCCUAAAAUUAUAUUGUUACUGUGCGUGUACUCCCUCCCUUCACAUUGGUUUCUGCAUCGUUACAUUCUAGAGAGAGAUUGCAAGAAUGUUUUUGUGGAAAAUCACAAAAAUAAAGGCAGCUUAAUCGGCUAUAUUUGUUGCUUAUAUAAUUAAGUUGAUUGUUAUUUCCUUAUUCAGUUCUGAUUGUAAGUUGAAGACCUUCCUUUUGUAUCCCUAACUUUGUUGUAUAUAUUGAGGCAUUGUAUAUCGAAGAUAACAUAAGAAUAGGAAUUAUUUUCUAAAAUAUCCACUGGCGAAGUGUUUUUCCUUUGGUAUCAAAAGAAGCCAAAAUAUCUUGGACUUGGGCUUUAAUAGAUGUUAGUGUCCGGAUUUGUUAUUUACCCAUUUAGGGAGAUUUGGUCGGUGAUGUCUCUCUAAUAAGUAGUGUCAAUAAUAGAAAGUUGUUUUCUAUAUUAUGGUAGUGCCUAUUGAUAUGAUGCGAUUAGAUUGUUUCUAGAUUUUUGUAUUUCCUCAUGUCUUACUUUUGUAUUGUAGCUGGUUCGCAUUCUGCUGUGAUGCUCUCUAUCAAGCAUGCGUAAUCCUUGAUGAAUAUUAUUCUGUAUUGAUAGAGUUUAAACUUUGGGAUUUUUCUUCUUAUUUUUGGCGGCCUUUAAGGGUUUGAAGAGUGAUUAUGUGUGAAUCUAAAAUUAUAGGGUUUAAUUAGGGACUCAAACAGUCAAUUGUCAUUUUGUAAUUGGCUAUUGAAAUUUGAAUUUGAAAAAAUGCUUGUUGGCUUGUAAAUGUCUUGAUCAAGGUAAAAGUUUUUCUAGCUGAUAGUUGUAUUAUUUUAUCCAAGACAUGAUUCUUAUUUUUUGAGGAGUAGAUCAAUCUCAGUGAUCACUACUUAAUGAAAAGUAUUGUAUAUCUCUUUCGUGCCUUGAAUUUAUUAUAGAAUCGACUUUGUAGAUUUCCUUUUCUUUCCUUGAUUUAGGAAGAAUCUAGGCACGAUUUUUGGUAUAGCUUUCUUCACAUGCUUCUAUAUAUUUACCCUUUGAGUUUAGAACUUGGCCUGUAUAUCUCUGGCCUUUAAGCAAUAAUAGAACCACAACUGAAGUUUAUAAUUUGAAUGUUCUAAAGGGAAGAUGAAUGUUUACAAAAUUUCUUAUUUAAUCCAUGCAUGUACUACUACAAUUAUCACUUAAUGAGCGGGGUUUAAGCAAUAAGCCGAAAAUUCCAUUCGAGAUGAUGUUGUUGCUCGAAUUUUAGGUCCCGAGCGUCGUGGACGAGUAAGGGGACUUGGACUUGGGUUACACCAUCAAAAGUAGAUGGAAAUACACAAAGCAGUGAGAAAGUGAGAGAACUUGAAAGCAAAUUACAAACUCAAUCAGUAAGGAUGGAAGCACUCGAAGAAAAGGUUGGAGCACUUCUAAAGUUAUCUCGAGUCAUACUUUGCUAUUACAUAUAGUAUGAUAGCGUAACUUAAUAUAUCUUAACAUUUCAAUAAGUUUUAAAUUUUUGUAUGAUUUUGCAGAAUCAAAAUAAGAAUGUAGAGGACAUGAGUUCACGUACUUUUACUCCACAGGUUUUUGUAUCGUAUAUUAUUUGUUCAAUAUAAAUUCAGACUAUAUCAUACUAGUUUUAAAAAUAUUUUUAUUUUACUACGAAUUUGUAGUCCCAACAAGGAAGUGGUAUGGAGGGAGUUAUUGUACCAGUGGAAAAUGGAAAGUGUCAACUAUUGCACUGGUACAUGUUUGAAGAGGAAAUUGUAGGCGAAGGGAAGAUUGCAUCAAUAGACCCAAGUGCAAAGGUGCAUCACGUGCCACUAGGACGAGAUUGUUGGAAGGUUUGGGUUGACGAGGUGUACAUGAGUCAUUUGCCCUUAUAGACCAACGGAUGAAUUUCGAAUUCUUAGUGACGCCAUA